GUAUGUAUGUGUGUGUGUGUAUGUCAGUAUGUAUGUCUGUGUGUGUAUGUCUGUGUGUAUGUAUGUAUGUCAGUAUGCAUGUAUGUCUGUGUGUAUAUGUCAGUAAGUCUGUAUGUGUGUAUGUGUCUACCUGAAUGUGUGUAUGUCAGUAUGUAUGUGUGUAUGUAUAUAUCUAUCAGUAAGUAUGUCCGCAUGCAUGUAUGUGUAUGUCAAUAUGUCUGUAUGUAUCUGUGUGUGUGUGU
This is a non-coding RNA of Pelobates cultripes (western spadefoot toad), 242 nucleotides long. The record is from the annotation of a GenBank genome assembly. NCBI's taxonomy places the organism in Eukaryota, Metazoa, Chordata, Amphibia, Anura, Pelobatidae.